GAGUGUGGCAUAGUGGUUUGAGUGUUGGACUAUGAAUCUAGAGACCAGGGUUCGAUUCCCUGCUCAGCCA
This 70-nucleotide transfer RNA is filed under the name Phrynosoma platyrhinos (Desert horned lizard). Its description in RNAcentral is "tRNA-OTHER". It matches the Rfam family "tRNA". Rfam says of the family: Transfer RNA (tRNA) molecules are approximately 80 nucleotides in length. Their secondary structure includes four short double-helical elements and three loops (D, anti-codon, and T loops). Lineage: Eukaryota; Metazoa; Chordata; Lepidosauria; Squamata; Phrynosomatidae. The record is from RNAcentral.